Molecule: unclassified non-coding RNA, 329 nt
Filed under: soil metagenome
Description: partial contains 5.8S ribosomal RNA, internal transcribed spacer 2, and large subunit ribosomal RNA
Rfam family: 5.8S ribosomal RNA (bases 1-120)
Source: RNAcentral
GAUGAAGAACGUAGCGAAAUGCGAUAAGUAAUGUGAAUUGCAGAAUUCAGUGAAUCAUCGAAUCAUUGAACGCACAUUGCGCCCCCUGGUAUUCCGGGGGGCAUGCCUGUCCGAGCGUCAUUACAACCCCCAAGCUCAGCUUGGUGUUGGGCCCCGCCGCCCCGGCGGGCCCUAAAGUCAGUGGCGGUGCCGUCCGGCUCCGAGCGUAGUAAUUCUUCUCGCUCUGGAGGUCCGGUCGUGUGCUCGCCAGCAACCCCCAAUUUUUUUCAGGUUGACCUCGGAUCAGGUAGGGAUACCCGCUGAACUUAAGCAUAUCAAUAAGCGGAGGA